Molecule: small nucleolar RNA, 126 nt
Organism: Rattus norvegicus (Norway rat)
Lineage: Eukaryota; Metazoa; Chordata; Mammalia; Rodentia; Muridae
Gene: Snora71a
Product: small nucleolar RNA, H/ACA box 71A
Source: Ensembl
CCCUGCAUCCGAAAGUGAUCUUGGCUGCCUGUGCCCUGGUCAUUGGUAGUGCAGGGAAAUCAUGCCGAAAGACGUGUUCUGAGUUCGGUCUAUCCUGACCCCUCCAAAUCCUAGAGCUUUCCUACA